Molecule: long non-coding RNA, 791 nt
Organism: Myodes glareolus (Bank vole)
Lineage: Eukaryota; Metazoa; Chordata; Mammalia; Rodentia; Cricetidae
Source: RefSeq, a predicted model, not a curated record
GGCCAGACCACCUCUGAGGUUCCAGCGCAAACACUGUUUUGUUUUGUUCUUCUGACUGAAAGUCUGAGAGACUGAAAGCCUGGGAGAAGGAGGCUACCAGGGGAACAGAAGGAGGUGGACAGAGGAGCUCCCUGGCUGGAACAUCCUUAUAGCUUCCGGACUCUGAAGAAAACUUCUCUCUGUCCACGAAUGUAGCAACUCUCCAAGCAGAUUGGUCAGUUCUGGCCUCUCCUAGGCUCUCCCCUGGGAUUCCAGCCCAGUUGUGUAGUGCCAGGCCUCAGCUGCUCUCCAUGACCCUCGUGCCUGCGAAACCGGCGCCCCCUGGAUGACUCUUAAACUUUACCAAGUUCAGCUGCCAGCAUGCGAUGAAGCCCGGAUCUCACCUCGGUGAUGCUGGCCUCGUCUUAACCAUCCCCAGCUGACCGCCUUCAUCUGUCGUAGCAAAGCAAAGGUUUCACUUUGAGUUAGUGGUGACUAUGUUAUGGCUAGUUUAGAGAGGCUUUUGAACUUUCAAAGAGACUUCGGGUGUUUUAAAGAGAUAGAACUUUUAAAGCUUGAAUUUUUAAAGACAAUGAGACUUUCAGAAGUUGGAAUGGGGGGCUGGAGAGAUGGCUCAGCAGUUUAAGCACACCUGCUGUGCUCACAGAGCAUCCCAGCACCUGCAGCUGCUGGUAACUCCAGUUCCUGGGCCUCAGAUGCCCUCUUCUGACCUCCAGGGACCUCUGAACACAAUGUUGCGCAUACACACACUCCACCACACACAUACAAUAAAAUAAAUGAAUAGAUCUUAA